RNAcentral lists this non-coding RNA (98 nucleotides) under Candidatus Yanofskyibacteriota. RNAcentral describes it as "Candidatus Yanofskybacteria SAM-I sequence". It matches the Rfam family "SAM riboswitch aptamer (S box leader)". Rfam says of the family: The SAM riboswitch is found upstream of a number of genes which code for proteins involved in methionine or cysteine biosynthesis in Gram-positive bacteria. The SAM riboswitch acts at the level of transcription termination control. The record is from RNAcentral.
AUAUUAUCAAGAGUGAGCUGAGGGAAUUGGCCCGAUGAAGCUCCAGCAACCUGCCAUAUGGUAAGGUGCUAAAUCCAACCCACGCGGGCAGAUAAUCU